UACCUGGUUGAUUCUGCCAGUAGUCAUAUGCUUGUCUCAAAGAUUAAGCCAUGCAUGUCUAAGUAUAAGCAAUUUAUACCGUGAAACUGCGAAUGGCUCAUUAAAUCAGUUAUCGUUUAUUUGAUAGUACCUUACUACUUGGAUAACCGUGGUAAUUCUAGAGCUAAUACAUGCUAAAAGCCCCGACUUCGGAAGGGGUGUAUUUAUUAGAUAAAAAACCAAUGCCCUCCGGGGCUCCUUGGUGAUUCAUAAUAACUUAACGAAUCGCAUGGCCUUGUGCCGGCGAUGGUUCAUUCAAAUUUCUGCCCU
This 309-nucleotide non-coding RNA is filed under the name Blumeria hordei DH14. RNAcentral's name for it is "Blumeria graminis f. sp. hordei DH14 Eukaryotic small subunit ribosomal RNA". It matches the Rfam family "Eukaryotic small subunit ribosomal RNA", at positions 1 to 313 of the family's 1831-position model. Lineage: Eukaryota; Fungi; Ascomycota; Leotiomycetes; Helotiales; Erysiphaceae. The record is from Rfam by way of RNAcentral.